RNAcentral lists this ribosomal RNA (501 nucleotides) under uncultured bacterium. Its description in RNAcentral is "partial 16S ribosomal RNA". It matches the Rfam family "Bacterial small subunit ribosomal RNA", at positions 29 to 523 of the family's 1533-position model. The record is from RNAcentral.
AACGAACGCUGGCGGCAGGCUUAACACUUGCAAGUCGAGCGGGGUGAGGUGCUUCGGUACUGAUCCUAGCGGCGGACGGGUGAGUAAUGCUUAGGAAUCUGCCAUUUAGUGGGGGACAACAUUCCGAAAGGAAUGCUAAUACCGCAUACGUCCUACGGGAGAAAGCAGGGGAUCUUCGGACCUUGCGCUAAAUGAUGAGCCUAAGUCGGAUUAGCUAGUUGGUGGGGUAAAGGCCUACCAAGGCGACGAUCUGUAGCGGGUCUGAGAGGAUGAUCCGCCACACUGGGACUGAGACACGGCCCAGGCGCCUACGGGAGGCAGCAGUGGGGAAUAUUGGACAAUGGGCGGAAGCCUGAUCCAGCCAUGCCGCGUGUGUGAAGAAGGCCUUUUGGUUGUAAAGCACUUUAAGCGAGGAGGAGGCUACCUGGAUUAAUACUCUGGGAUAGUGGACGUUACUCGCAGAAUAAGCACCGGCUAACUCUGUGCCAGCAGCCGCCGUAA